Molecule: ribosomal RNA, 468 nt
Filed under: uncultured bacterium
Lineage: Bacteria
Description: partial 16S ribosomal RNA
Rfam family: Bacterial small subunit ribosomal RNA
Source: RNAcentral
GACGAACGCUGGCGGCGUGCUUAACACAUGCAAGUCGAACGGAAAGGCCCUGCUUUUGUGGGGUGCACGAGUGGCGAACGGGUGAGUAACACGUGAGUAACCUGCACUUGACUUUGGGAUAACUUUUGGAAACUGGGGCUCAUAUCGGAUAGGAGCUACUGCUGCAUGGUGGGGGAUGGAAAGUUUCGGCGGUUGGGGAUGGACUCGCGGCUUAUCAGCUUGUUGGUGGGGUAGUGGCUUACGAAGGCUUCGACGGGUAGCCGGCCUGAGAGGGUGACCGGCCACAUUGGGACUGAGAGACGGACCAGACUCCUACGGGAGGCAGCAGUGGGGAAUAUUGCACAAUGGGCGGAAGCCUGAUGCAGCAGCGCCGCGUGCGGGAUGACGGCCUUCGGGUUGUAAACCGCUUUCUCCGGUGACGAGGCGGUAGUGACGGUAAUGGGUAAGGAAGCACCGGCUAACUACGUG